RNAcentral lists this long non-coding RNA (316 nucleotides) under Panax ginseng (ginseng). RNAcentral's name for it is "long non-coding RNA (PGIN_LNC004376)". The record is from RNAcentral. Lineage: Eukaryota; Viridiplantae; Streptophyta; Magnoliopsida; Apiales; Araliaceae.
CAAAGUAGACUUCUAUGACUUUAAAUGGAUAAACACUCAGCUCCCGCCGGAUAAAAGAUAGCUAUAUGUGAGCUAACAAGUGUUUAAAAGUGAGGAAACACUCAAAAGAUGUGUAUGUAGAGUAAAAAGGACAGGGCUUCCUAGCCUUUUCUCUCUCUCCUCCUCUUCAAAUGGAUGACCCCAAGGCUUGUAGUACGUGCACUCGUGUACUAUAAUGUCCACUCGAACUUACAGAACUUCAAUCCGAGCAUCCGAACGAGGUAUAUCUGACCUUCUUUGGACUGCUUGUGUCGAGAGUUACACAAUGAUAUGGAUU